RNA transcript from Mus musculus (house mouse), 8007 nucleotides. It is a transcript of the gene named glucosaminyl (N-acetyl) transferase 2 (I blood group), with no coding region annotated. The record is from RefSeq and is marked validated. The transcript is spliced from 4 exons. Lineage: Eukaryota; Metazoa; Chordata; Mammalia; Rodentia; Muridae.
CCUUCUCAUGAUCAUUGCUACUGAAGCAUAAUGGAAAAGUAUCAUUUCUAAACUAUCAGUCAACCUGGGAUGGAGUUACUUAAUUGGUCAGGCAGAGUCACUGGGGAUGGCAAGGUCCUGCACUUUCUUAGCUUAAUUCCAAGUGAAAAGCAAAUCCCUAUACUUUAUAAUGAUGGAGAAAUCCCUGAGUCAUUUGAUGGAGCUGCCAUAACAAAGCACUGCAGGUCCCAACGCGGUGGACCAUGUCUGUCAUCCCAGCACUCAGGAUGCUAGGGCAGGACCAUCAAGAGUUCUAGGCUGGCUUGGGUUUCUCAAAGACAUGGUCACAUCAUGAAAACAAACCUUAAAGCAAACUAUACAAAAGUGUUAUACAAAAGUGUGCUUCCAAAGAGAAGCCCUAGGCACCCAUCUGGGUUCAUCUCCUUCUGUCAGCCCUUUCUACCUGGAUAACUUGACCCCCCUCAAUGUAACUCCAUUAAAUUUUCAGCCAGCCCAUUCUCUUCAAGCCCAGCUUCCUGUGCCUUUUUUUUGUUUGUUUGUUUGUUUUUUGUUUUUUGUUUUUUUGUUUUUUGCUUUUUGCUUUUUGCUACUGUGUGGUGUUUCUGUAUGAACUCAUGCCUUCUCAAGAUCUUCCCCGAGUAAAGAGUAAUGAUUAAUUGGGGAUGAAGAACAAGUCCCAGACCAAUUAUGAAAGCAUAAUGAGGAAUGUGUGUGUGUGUGUGUGUGUGUGUGUGUGUGCGCGCGCGCGCCUGCAGCUCAGCAGAGGGAAGAGGUGGGAAGGAAGCUUCCACCAGUCGGCCGCCCGGUCUUGCCUGGAGGUGUUCUGCAUGUGAUCUUUCUGUGUGCUUCUGAGUAACAGGAUGAAGCCCAAGCUGUUUGCCUUGCUUUUGCACCAGUAUCUAGGUCUUUCCUGCCUCCCUUGCAGCAGACUGGGUGGGGCAAGAAGAGGCUCUCAGUUGUUAGAUUUUGUUUUUGUUUUUGUUUUGUUUUGUUUGUUUUUGUUUUUUGAUUUUUCUCUAUCUUGCUUCCCCCCCCCCCCCUCGCCAGGGUUUCUCAGGGUCAGGUGAGCUCUAUCUUGUCCCUCCUUUAAGGAAAGGCCAAAUGUACUGAAUGUCCAAAGGACAGGCCUUCUCAGUCUCUGUUGAUUGACUGCUUUUUAUUCUUUCCUUCUUUUUUGGCAGUGCUGAGGAUUGAACUCAGGGCCUCCUCGUGUUCUGCUCCUGAGCUGUCUCUCCAGCCCCAGUUUAAAAACUAUUAUGCUCUCAUUUCCCCCUUCCCUCUCUCUUUUUAAAUCUCUAUUUUAAUUUCUGUUUUGAGAUAGGGUCUCAUUAAGUUGCCCAGGCUGGCCUUGAACUUGAUAUCCUCCCUGCCUUAGUCUCCAAAGUGCUGAGAUAGCAUGACCGUGUUAGGUUCCAAGUCUAGUGUUGUUUCAAAUAAACAAUCGUAAACAGUACAUCUACAUCUUGGAGCUGUGUUCUAUAUAACUUAAUAGCUUAAUAACUCUCUCUCUCUCUCUUUCUCUCUCUCCAUGUGUGUGUGUUGAACCCAGGGCCUCGGGUACUAAACAAGUACUUUACCACUAAACAAGUACUUUACCACUGAGCUAUAUAUUCAGUCCUCCGAAAGAAGUCUUGAACAGCGUUCACCACAUAAAGGGUUCUGUGUGCAGCAGAGAGAAUGUCUUUAAGAUGGCCCCAGGGAAAGAUAGACUUGUCUAGCCUGAUUAAUUGGCUAGGUCAGGAGUAAUUGCUUCCAAAGUGAGGACCUGGGGCAUGGUUGCUAAGGCUGCAAGUAUCAACUUUGUCCUUGACUGAAGGAAAAGGCAAGUAGGGAAGGCUGCGACGUCCUGUUUCAGGAGCAAAGAGCUCACAGUCUCCAUUCUGGAUAAGCAGGCUGGACUGCAGCCUGACCAGAAGUACCAGGUAACAGGCAUCUUCAAAUAUGAUAGCUGGUUUUGCAAAACAUUCUCCUAGAGGGAUUUGUAAUCUUGGAACUGGGAGUUGGGGAAAUUGGUCCAAGGGCAGGCAAAAGAGAAACAAUAGCUACAUUUUUGAACCUGUGAACAGCAUCAUUGGCAGUUCUGGAUUGAAUUCAGAAGCAUUCUGAAAAUUCUUAUUUUGGGCAGUAUCUGUAUAUCGUAAUAAAGUAAUGUCAUUAGUGUUUCUCCACCUCCCCUCCCGAGUCUGCACAAAUCUGAACCUCCGUGCUAUUGGCCAGUUGGAAAGGGUAAUGUAAACAGAUUCAGUUACCAUAAUUAAGUUAUGUAUCUGUGUACCGAAUGCUUUGUCAGGCUGCAACUAUUUCAGUAUUCAUUCUAAGCCGAGGGCAUUGCCAAAAUGAAAUUACUGAUGACAAAAUUACCCUCUGUUGUUAAGACACAGCAGAUGUAAUAACCUAAUAUUUAACAGUGUUAUUUUUGAAAAAAAAAAAGAUGAAGACAGAGAUAGAACUGUCCUUUGCCCUACACCAAAGAAGAUAACUUGAAGGAGAGUGAACCACUUUACAAAAUGGCUGCAUUUUCUUUCACAACUGACCUAAAGGCCCAGGGGAGGGUUUCUCAGAAUAUUUGUUUGAUGCAGGUGCAGGAAGAGGAUUAGUAAGAGGAAAGAAAAAUAAUAUAUAAACAGGAAAAACAAAACAUGUAAAUAAAAUCUGGACGAAUGAAACUGUAGCUCAGGACAUGGCAUGCCAUUGGGCUGGAGUCUGGGCGCUUGGAAUCUCAAGUUCCUACUUGGAAGGACUCUGCAUGCUGUGCUAGUCUAGACUGCAGAAGGAAGACUGGGCACCGAAGGGCACUCUUUCUUCACAGGCUGGAAUGCAAACUCAUUUCCCAUUGCAAGUCAACCCACAAGGUACAGACUCUCACUUGAGAAAUGCAGACAACUAGCAAAGGAAAAUGGAAAGGCAGCCCCCAGUCCAAAGGACACUGCUUAAAACUGCAUCUAAAUGUAGGUGGUGGAAAGCUGGGUUGUGAGUGUGUAGAUCCUGAAAACCCAGCUCUUGGGAGGUAGGGGCUGGAGGAUAGUUCCAGGUCAGAAUGGAUUGCCUGAGACCCUGUUUUGUUUUGUUUUGUUUCGACUAUAAAGUCAAGAGUAUAGGAGAGCUCCCGAGUGGUCUCUGGGUGCUUAAACCCUUAAGGUUCUUGGUUGAGAUGUAGAUCUGAACGUCCUUCGCGGCCAGGAUUCAACUCUUUUCUGUGAAGUCUUCAGGUCUCAUCCAAAUUAGACCGUACAGUUCACUACCUGUACAUUCUGUAACACCAGGGCAGAGGCCAGAGUACGAGGAGAGGGGGGUUUAAGUCAAAGUCACUCCCCCCCCAUCCCCCCCACCUCUGCCCGGUCAGAUCCCUUAGGACCGGAACUCCUCCUCCUGGGAGCUCAUGUUUUGGAAACUGGUGGGGUGGGGCCAGAAAACAUUACAAUGGAGCUGGGAUGGAGGAGGUGUGCUUUUAUUUCAGAUUGUGUCAUUCGAGUAGAGUCUCCCGAAACAGCCACUAACAGAACCGAGGCUCUUUUAGAUCCCCUGGGUUGUUAGCCUGGCACACUGGGGAGAGUAGGUAACACAGCAGAAGAGAGAGGCAGUGGAGGAAGGCAGGAAACCCUUCACACGCCUAGCCCGGCUCAUCCCAUCCACUUUGGGGUUUGCCGUGCCGAUUGUAACAAGAGGAAAGAGCUAGCAGAAACCCCCGAAGGAAAGGAACGAAAGGGGAGGUGAGAAACUCAAUUGAAAAAGAGGUAGCAGGGAGAGUAAAAGUCAGCAGAUGCAAACUGGGAGGCCAGAGGAGGAGGAAAAGGCUGGGCUUCGGCAACCUGCUGCUAGGAUUUAGACAAAGGAGGUUUGAGAGAGGCGGGAUCAGAUUCUAAUAUCUGCUCCAGGAGAGAGCUCGCUGCUGGGCUCCGGGAGACAAAACAGCCGCAAUUCACACUGACUGGAGCAUGUACCACAGCGAGAGCUCCCAGGAAAAAGUAAGUCCGAGAAGGGAUUGGCCAAGCUUGACGGACUCUGACAUCGGAGACCCUCUUUGAGGCAUGCCUCCGUCCGUGCGUUACUUCUUCAUAGUGUCUGUGACUACUGUCAUCGUUUUUAUUGUGCUCUACGUGUUAAGUUUUGGAGGAGAUCAAAGCUACCAGAAGCUGAACAUCUCAGACUCGGUGAUGCUGGCUCAAGUGUGCUCAUCUUUCAUCGACGGGAAAAGCCGGUUCCUGUGGAGAAACAAACUAAUGAUUCACGAGAAGCCUUCUUGCACAGAAUAUGUGACCCAAAGCCACUAUAUCACUGCCCCUUUAUCUCAGGAAGAGGUCGAUUUUCCUUUGGCGUAUGUCAUGGUCAUCCAUCACAAUUUUGACACCUUUGCAAGGCUCUUCAGGGCAAUCUUCAUGCCUCAAAAUAUCUACUGUGUUCACGUGGAUGAAAAGGCAACAGCUGAAUUCAAAGGUGCCGUGGAACAGUUAGUGAGCUGCUUCCCCAAUGCCUUUCUGGCUUCUAAGAUGGAGCCGGUGGUCUAUGGUGGAAUCUCCCGGCUCCAGGCUGACCUGAACUGCAUCAAAGACCUGUCCACCUCCGAGGUCCCCUGGAAGUACGCCAUCAACACCUGUGGACAAGACUUCCCCCUGAAAACCAACAAGGAGAUAGUUCAGUACCUGAAAGGGCUUAAGGGGAAGAACCUCACUCCCGGGGUGCUGCCUCCAGCCCACGCCAUUGGAAGGACCAGGUACGUCCACCGGGAACACCUAAGCAAAGAGCUUUCCUACGUGAUCAGAACCACGGCUCUGAAGCCCCCACCUCCCCACAACCUCACCAUUUAUUUUGGCUCUGCCUAUGUCGCCCUGUCGAGAGAGUUUGCUAACUUUGUUCUCCGUGACCCACGGGCGGUUGAUUUGCUCCAUUGGUCCAAAGAUACUUUCAGUCCCGAUGAGCAUUUCUGGGUGACGCUCAAUAGGAUUCCAGUGAAGAGCAAUAUGGAGCCUCAUGUGACCUUUGGCAGUAUUUGUGGAGAUGUUUAACACACAGGGAUUGGAGGAUAACUCCUGGACAGUGCCCAGGGCUGUUGCUCAAUUUCCUACAGUGUACAAGACAAGCCACAACAGAGAAUCAGAGUUGCUGUGGUUUGAGAAGACUGUAGAGCCCGUAGGAGAUGGAGACUUGACAGAGGAGGUACCUCCUCCUGGGGGAGUCCCUGGCUCCAUGCCACCAAACGCAUCCUGGACGGGUAACCUCAGAGCUGUGAAGUGGAUGGACAUGGAAGCGAAGCAUGGAGGCUGCCAUGGUCACUACGUCCAUGGCAUUUGUAUCUAUGGAAACGGAGACUUGCAGUGGCUGAUUAAUUCGCAAAGCCUGUUUGCUAACAAAUUUGAACUCAACACAUACCCUCUUACCGUGGAAUGCCUGGAACUGAGGCUUCGAGAAAGAACACUCAACCAGAGUGAGAUCGCCAUACAGCCGAGCUGGUAUUUCUGACCCGCAGCAGCUCGGGCCUAAAUGGAAAUUGAAGACGUAAAGAAGAGCUUUCUUUUCCAAGAGACUCUGGUCUUGGCUAUGCUGAAGACUUUUUUAAAAAAUGGUUUUCAGGGAACCGUGAGGAUCUGGCAACAUGGCUCUGCUUGCAAUAUCCACUGAGCACUGUAAUACAUUUGACAGGAUGGCUGCAUGAAACUGUCCAGCAUUUUUCUGUCGUUUCCCCCCCACCCCAAAUCCUUUUUUUCUCUUCUUUUUUAAAAGAUAGGUAGGGUCUUGCUAGAUAUCUCUAGCAAGCCUGUUUCUUGUCAGGUAGCCCAGGAUGGCCUUGAACUCUUAAUCCUCCGCCUUGGCCCUCUAAGGGCUGCUAGUCCGAGUGUGGACAACCACACCUGGCUCUGGCGUCUGGCGGUCACUUGACGCUCAUCUGCGUCUCCGUCUGCUAGGUGGUCGGUGAUAAAUUCAAAUGUAUCAGAUCUCUGUGCCAGAUACUCAUAUUAGUAUACCCUGUUCAAAGGAGAAUGGUGGAUAAUACUGUCUGAGGAAAUCAGAACUUAUUUGAGAAGGAAGCUCUCGUUCCACAUUCCUAGCAACUAUAUUCUCAGGCACACAUAGGCGCACAGAGACAGCUUCCUAGUAACUCACAUCAAUUUCGUUUAAUACAAACUGAUCCUGAAGAGCUGAGGAACUAUGUAAGUUCAGUGUCCAAGCAUUUGACUGACAUUUGUGCAGAGUUAGGUUCCAUCUCCAGCAUCACGCACGGGUCUUGUGAACACCGACAUCUUCAGUUUACUUGUGUCUGCAGUUCUGUGGACAGAACAAAGCCAUUCACAAGUGACCGACAGCACGUGCCGUGAGACGGGAGGUGGCUGCAGGAAGAGGAUGCCUCAGGGAUGCCGGACAUUUCCGUGUUCUAUUCCAGAGUGUUCUCUUCUCCCAGAGAACACUGGAACGUCCUCACAGGGAUGAAGGAAUUCUUUCUUUCCCACAGGAAAGGUGCUACUGUGUGGGUCUGGAACCUGUGAAUGAAUCACUCCUGGGGUUUCGUUUCUAUGUGAGAGACGGGGACCCGGUUCUGUUGUGUGCAGCUUUAGCGGCAUCAGGACAGCUUCCAGCUUGCAAUGAUUGCUGCUGACAGGAACACCUGGAUCUCAAGAGCUUUUUAUGACAGGUGGACAUCUGUGUCAUUUUUCCUUGUUCCCUCAUCCAUCCAUCCAUCCAUCCAUCCAUCCAUCCAUCCAUCCAUCCAUUCGUCAGCCUACAUUCAACAAACGCCUCUUGAAUGUCUAUGAUUCCCCCAGACACAUGCUGACAGACACGAGGGAAGCAAGACAGAUUCUUUCUCCACUGUUAAACUCUGGGGAGUGGUAUCAGCUUUUGAAACCCUGCUCUAGACUCUUACAAAAUGGCUACACUUAGCACAUACUCUGCCCUGGCUAUAUAUUAUAUUGGGCCAUAGAGAUCAGCAAUGUAUCAAUUAAUAGAUUAAUCCAGAGACAGGAAGGAGGAAACGAAAGCUAGAGCCUCUUUGUGACUCCACCAACUCCUUCUUGUCUCCUUUUAUUGAAGAGUCCGCACACAUACUCACCCCUCUGGUGGGCCACAUGAGGACCUGCAUCUUGCAGAUGAUGUAGCAAGCCUUAGGAUGGUUCAUGAUCAGUAGGAAGCAAAUUCUAAGACCUCAGGGUGUCUUUCUGAGUCUCUCAUUUCUUUAGGGAUGUGGAGAGAAGAUGAAGUAUAGCCGUGUGUAGUGUCGCCAGAGAAGGUGGAGUUUAAGAAUGGUCUCAGUGUUAUUAAUGAGAAAAAGUUCUGUCAUUCAGGAAAAAAAAGCAAAAAACGUGAGGUUGGGACUCAGUAGGUGAGGGUGCUUGCAGCCAAACCUGAUGACCUGCAUUCAAUUCCUGGGUCCCACGGGACAGAGGGAGAGAGUCCACUACUGAAAGGAACGCUCAAACCUCCUCACACAGGUCCUUGUGCCUGGGCACUCCCCCGCCCCAUAUGCAUACACACAUACAUGCUUUUGUGAUUUUUUUUAUUAGUGCUUUUACAUUUAGAAAUAUUUAUUUAUUCUAGCAGGGAAAAAACCCCACAUGCUUUAAAUGAUGUCACUUUCCACAACUUCAUUCUUGUGCUGUCAUUGGACUGAAUGUUAUGCAUCUUUAAAGGGAAUCACUUCGUGUAAAACUCUCUUGUCUCUUCUGCUGAAAAGUAAAAUGGGUUGUGUCGGGUAAUAAAGGGUCGAGGGGUAGGAAGCACUUGGUCAAGGCGAAGUCUAAAACCGGUCUCUUUUUUAUUUGUUACUUGGAUGAGAGCACCUGAAGACUAAUGUUUUACACUGGAUUGAGAUCUCAUGGAAAAUGAAACAUUCUUUUUCUGGAGAAGUUUACAUGCCCAUUGUUGGUCACCUCUUUACUGUAAAUACUAUUGAAAAAAGGAGCGUAGCAUUUGCAUAGCAGGGAUUGUGCCUGUAUCUACUGUGUCCAUUUUGUUUUUUCGGAUGUUUUCUGGUUUUGUUUCCUUGGAAAUAAAUUAAUAUAUUGUUUUCCACCUUCA